Molecule: ribosomal RNA, 322 nt
Filed under: uncultured marine eukaryote
Lineage: Eukaryota
Description: SSU rRNA
Rfam family: Eukaryotic small subunit ribosomal RNA
Source: RNAcentral
AGUUGGGGGCAUCAGUAUUCUGAAGCGAGAGGUGAAAUUCUUGGACCUUCGGAAGACUAACAACUGCGAAAGCAUCUGCCUAGGAUGUUCUCUUUAAUCAAGAACGAAAGUUGGGGGAUCGAAGACGAUCAGAUACCGUCGUAGUCUCAACUAUAAACUAUGCCAGCUAGGGAUUGGUGGACGUUUAUUUACGACUCCAUCAGCACCUUAUGAGAAAUCAAAGCAUUUGGGUUCCGGGGGGAGUAUGGUCGCAAGGCUGAAACUUAAAGGAAUUGACGGGAGGGCACCACCAGGAGUGGAGCCUGUGGCUUAAUUUGACUCA